This is a long non-coding RNA of Neofelis nebulosa (Clouded leopard), 882 nucleotides long. RefSeq lists it as uncharacterized. The transcript has 2 exons. The record is from RefSeq and is a predicted model, not a curated record. NCBI's taxonomy places the organism in Eukaryota, Metazoa, Chordata, Mammalia, Carnivora, Felidae.
CCUAAACCAACCAAGGAUUGGGUUAAAUUAAACUUUAUAAGGUUGUAUUUAUGAAAAAAUGAUGUGUUAAGACAAAUUUUUAAAUGUCUUGUACUUGACUGAAUUCUUCCUGCUUUUAAUGGAUUAAUAUUUUUCCCCAUUUUAAAAAAAAGGUCUAAAAUAAUUUGUGGAGAUAAUAAUUAAGGCCACAGUAGUGUUUUAGAAUCAGUAAAGGAAAAUAGUUCUUAGUAAAGUUGCUCAAUAAGCCUAUAUUCUGGAAUCCCAAUACUCUGUUCUAGAACCUGUGUGUGGCCAUGGUCUAGAGGCAUCCGUGGGAGAUGUGCCUCAGGAACCUCCAGACACGUAAAUGCAGACUCUCAAGAGCAAUCUAUGCCUCCACCUCUAUCCCAAGGGAUAACCUUAUUUACAAAGUUUAAAAGUGGACAGUUGGGAACUGGAGCUGUGGUAAAGAUUCCUGAUCAGUCAGCUGACUGCCCUGCGUGCUUGGCGCUGGCCUUCUGUGCACUCAGGCUCUCCAUUCAGCCACCCCUGCUCCAGUGGGACAUACUGUGAUCUCAGCUUUCCUGAUGGAAGCAGACUCUGAAUGGCUCUGGUCUUCUGAAGAGGUCUCCAUCAGGAAUCUGAGGGGCUGUGAGCAGCCACUACGAAGGAGCCCAGACCAGCACCCGUCCUGGAUCCCACCUGCACUGUUGCGAGAGGUCCCGGCUGAACUGAAGCAGGCACUAUCACACCAGCUCCCACCUCAUUUGCUUCUGACACUCCACUCUUCCUACUGCAGACCUCUAAUCUAGUGCAUCUCCUGUCUAAUGGACUUAAUGUCUCCCUAAGUGGCCCCAACCCUCCAGUCUCUUCCUCUUCCAAGACUGCUUGUGGUCACAUACA